AACUCUCAACCUCGUUCGCUUUUACUAGCUUGAGCGAGGCUUGGACGUGAGGGCUUGCUGGCUUCCUUCAGUGGAUGGUCUGCUCCCUUUAAAAGCAUUAGUGGGAUCUCUUGUGGACGGACCGUCACUUGGUGUGAUAAUUAUCUAUGCCAGUUGACUUUGAAGCAAACUUAUGGGAACCUGCUUAUAACCGUCUCGCAAGGGACAGCAAUCUUAAUUGACA
Molecule: unclassified non-coding RNA, 223 nt
Filed under: uncultured Mycena
Lineage: Eukaryota; Fungi; Basidiomycota; Agaricomycetes; Agaricales; Tricholomataceae
Description: sequence contains ITS2
Source: RNAcentral